RNAcentral lists this ribosomal RNA (468 nucleotides) under uncultured bacterium. Its description in RNAcentral is "partial 16S ribosomal RNA". It matches the Rfam family "Bacterial small subunit ribosomal RNA", at positions 28 to 507 of the family's 1533-position model. The record is from RNAcentral.
GACGAACGCUGGCGGCGUGCUUAACACAUGCAAGUCGAACGGAAAGGCCCUGCUUUUGUGGGGUGCUCGAGUGGCGAACGGGUGAGUAACACGUGAGUAACCUGCCCUUGACUUUGGGAUAACUUCAGGAAACUGGGGCUAAUACCGGAUAGGAGCUCCUGCUGCAUGGUGGGGGUUGGAAAGUUUCGGCGGUUGGGGAUGGACUCGCGGCUUAUCAGCUUGUUGGUGGGGUAGUGGCUUACCAAGGCUUUGACGGGUAGCCGGCCUGAGAGGGUGACCGGCCACAUUGGGACUGAGAUACGGCCCAGACUCCUACGGGAGGCAGCAGUGGGGAAUCUUGCACAAUGGGCGGAAGCCUGAUGCAGCAACGCCGCGUGCGGGAUGACGGCCUUCGGGUUGUAAAACGCUUUCGCCUGUGACGAAGCGUGAGUGACGGUAAUGGGUAAAGAAGCACCGGCUAACUACGUG